Molecule: long non-coding RNA, 321 nt
Organism: Xiphophorus maculatus (southern platyfish)
Lineage: Eukaryota; Metazoa; Chordata; Actinopteri; Cyprinodontiformes; Poeciliidae
Exons: 2
Source: RefSeq, a predicted model, not a curated record
AUGGUGUUCAGGGCGGUGUCCGCGCCGAUGCAGAAGUCGGAGCCUGGGACGUUGUUGGAGACAGUGGCGGGGAUCACCACAAAGGGUAGACAGCCUCUCUGCCUCUCGCCCAUGGACCGCUGAAUAUCCCUACACCCUCACAACCCUGCAUGCAUAAGUGGGUAUAAGACAAUAGAUGAAUGGAUAUUUUAUGUCUACUUGCAUUAAUAUUCUCAGCAAGCUGUGAUAUAGCUAAGCCUAAGAUUAUUAAUAUCUCUGGCAGAGAAAGAGGAAAUGAAACUGGCAAGUCUCAAAUGAUAAUAAAGCUAAAAGGAGGAUGAA